RNAcentral lists this ribosomal RNA (434 nucleotides) under uncultured bacterium. RNAcentral's name for it is "partial 16S ribosomal RNA". It matches the Rfam family "Bacterial small subunit ribosomal RNA", at positions 29 to 507 of the family's 1533-position model. The record is from RNAcentral.
AGCGAACGCUGGCGGCAGGCCUAACACAUGCAAGUCGAACGAACCUUUCGGGGUUAGUGGCGGACGGGUGAGUAACACGUGGGAACGUGCCUUUAGAUUCGGGAUAACUCAGGGAAACUUGUGCUAAUACCGAAUGUGCCCUUCGGGGGAAAGAUUUAUCGCCUUUAGAGCGGCCCGCGUCUGAUUAGCUAGUUGGUUGAGGUAAUGGCUCACCAAGGCGACGAUCAGUAGCUGGUCUGAGAGGAUGAUCAGCCACAUUGGGACUGAGACACGGCCCAAACUACUACGGGAGGCAGCAGUGGGGAAUCUUGCGCAAUGGGCGAAAGCCUGACGCAGCCAUGCCGCGUGAAUGAUGAAGGUCUUAGGAUUGUAAAAUUCUUUAACCGGGGACGAUAAUGACGGUACCCGGAGAAGAAGCCCCGGCUAACUUCGUG